This is a long non-coding RNA of Triplophysa rosa, 1003 nucleotides long. RefSeq lists it as uncharacterized. The transcript is spliced from 3 exons. Lineage: Eukaryota; Metazoa; Chordata; Actinopteri; Cypriniformes; Nemacheilidae. The record is from RefSeq and is a predicted model, not a curated record.
CCAAAGUUCGAUUUUGUGUGCAUAAAUACGCCUAUUUUUGCGUACAUAUGAUACGCCAAUUUAGCGCGAGUGCAUAUUAACCGGCAAUUUGUCUUAUUAACCUGUCCCCUAACCCAAACCCUAAACCUAAUGUUAGCGUGCGUGCAUAUUAUAAGCUCUAACCCAAACCCUAACAGUAUUAUUUUAAUUAUUUCAGUGUUUCCUCUUCAUGUACGUUUCAAAAUGGCUGCUCUCCAGCGAGGUGCACGCAAACAUUGGCGUAUCAUAUGCAAGCGAAAUCGAACUUUGGCGUGCGUAUUUCAAGAUAAUGCAACAGCGUGUUAUUUAUAUGCAAUUCAUGAGACCGGGUUGUCCUGACAUCUUGUAUGAAUACAAUUCAUGAUUUUGUGAAUAAUUUUUUUCUUAAGAAUCAGGACUGACAAGCCCUCUACAUGUGAAUUAUUGUGUCAUCUGUGGUAUGUGCCACCAUCCAGAAGAAGAGACAUAUUCAAAGGGCCGACACAUGCCGCGCACAGAUCCCCACAACUGUGGUGGCAAACGUUUUCAAAAGGUGGGGCUGCAUUUGUCCCACAACCCCAACAUUCCACAUUCCAGUGCAAUAGCCAGAGCUCUCGGUUACAACAGGGUCAGGAUGAACCAGGGAUUGAAGCGCAGACAAGGAAGAGCAGGCACUGAAAUAGCGCAUGACUCCACAGUCUCCACAGGAAAAUGAGACCAUGUUCCUCUUUUGGAGUGUCCAUCUGAGGAGCGUCUGCCUAGGAAAAACUUGGGGUGAUAGAAUCACACCUUAUUCUGAGUAAGAAAACUCCCUCUUUUUGUCUUUUUCGUGUCGAGACCCAUAAAAACAACUUAGCAUCUGCUCUCACUUUUCCCUCUUCCUGUCUCCCAAAAGUAAUUUCCUCUCUUUUCUUUCCUCAUUUUACCCCCUAAAAGGUUUACACUGACGAUUGCUGUAUUGUUUUAUCAAAAGCGCAGUCUUGAAGUAGGUCAAUAAAACAUUGGG